Molecule: non-coding RNA, 21 nt
Organism: Caenorhabditis elegans
Lineage: Eukaryota; Metazoa; Nematoda; Chromadorea; Rhabditida; Rhabditidae
Source: Ensembl
AUAUAUAUGGUAUGAGACAAG